This 327-nucleotide ribosomal RNA is filed under the name uncultured bacterium. RNAcentral's name for it is "bacterial SSU rRNA". It matches the Rfam family "Bacterial small subunit ribosomal RNA", at positions 29 to 361 of the family's 1533-position model. The record is from RNAcentral.
AUUGAACGCCGGCGGCAUGCCUUACACAUGCAAGUCGAACGGCAGCACGGGAGCAAUCCUGGUGGCGAGUGGCGAACGGGUGAGUAAUACAUCGGAACGUGCCCAGUAGUGGGGAUAACCGGCGAAGCCGGACUAAUACCGCAUACGACCUACGGUGAAAGCAGGGGAGUCGCAAGACCUUGCGCUAUUGGAGCGGCCGAUGUCAGAUUAGCUUGUUGGUGGGGAAAAGCCUACCAAGGCAACGAUCUGUAGCUGGUCUGAGAGGACGACCAGCCACACUGGGACUGAGACACGGCCCAGACUCCUACGGGAGGCAGCAGUGGGGAA